Molecule: non-coding RNA, 1049 nt
Organism: Penaeus vannamei (Pacific white shrimp)
Lineage: Eukaryota; Metazoa; Arthropoda; Malacostraca; Decapoda; Penaeidae
Source: RefSeq, a predicted model, not a curated record
CCAGGAGAGCGGGUGUGGGGGGAGCAGCCAAAAGGAAGAUGGGGACGGGACUCCUCGCCUCAAUGUACCGCACCUUCAGGACCUCAUAGGGAAGGAGGCACUGCAGUACCGCCCGUCAGUGCGAUUAUCUCAGGACGAGAGUUCGGCGUUGGCAGCGGCGGGUCGUCAGGCGCGGCAGCUGGUCGUGUGGACGUACGACUCUCUCCAGCGGCUACAGACACACCACGCGACCUGGCCGUCCGUGCUGCACGACCUGGUGCGAGACGCGGUCACGGACAUCUCGAAACCCACGUACGGGAAGCAGUGUCUCGAGGAAGUGAAGCGAGACCUCGGCUGGAAGAAGUGAUUGGCUCCUGACGGCGGCGUCGCGUGCCAGGACCUCGGUGGGCGUCGGGAGGCGGGUGUCAGGAGAGGCGAAUGAACUGUGGACGAGCAGAGACGAUCAAUGAAAAAGAAAAAGAAAGCAGAACGUGAUAAAUGAUAAAAGGAAAGAGAAGAGGGACUGGUACAUGGGGAAAAGAAAGUGAUCCAUGAUUUUUAAAAAAGGGGUGCUGGUACAAGGUAAUGAAUGGUCUUCAGUUGUCUGUUACAAGUUGAAGGUGAUACAUUUAGAUCCUCUUUUCGUUAGUGGAAAAAGGUACGUGAAUGUUUAUAAGCAUUUUGUCCAGUGUUUUAUUUAGAAUAGUAAGAGAAAGAAGCUUGCGAGUGAAUGCGUUUGCUUGUUUUCACUGUGUGUUUAUAAUGUGUUCAUAUAAGCAACUAAAGAUUCUUUUCCUCUUCAGGAAUUUUGAGUCUGUUAUUAAGAUAUAUUACAGUUUAUGCUGAUUAUUUUUGAAUGAUUGUCAAGUGUAAAGCAUUUGUAAAAGCUAGGUGAGUUUUUUUUUUUUUUUUUUUUACAUCGGUAGGAUAACUAUUCAGAUAUACAGGUUACAUCUGUUAGUUGGGAACUAGAGAGAGAGAGAGAGAGAGAGAGAGAGAGAGAGAGAGAGAGAGAGAGAGAGAGAGAGAGAGAGAGAGAGAGAGAGAGAGAGAGAGAGAGAGAGAGAGAG